This 1284-nucleotide ribosomal RNA is filed under the name Triticum aestivum (bread wheat). RNAcentral describes it as "partial small subunit ribosomal RNA". The record is from RNAcentral. Lineage: Eukaryota; Viridiplantae; Streptophyta; Magnoliopsida; Poales; Poaceae.
AUGGAGGAGGUGGAGGUUCCGUCCUACUUCGUGUGCCCUAUCACGCUGGACGUCAUGCGCGACCCCGUCACGCUCCCCACCGGCAUCACCUACGACCGCCACGCCAUCCACCGCUGGCUCCGCCUCGCCGCCUCCUGCCCGCUCACCAAGCUGCCCGUCGCGCCGGACUGCGAGCCCACGCCCAACCACACGCUCUGCCGCCUCAUCCGCUCCUGGUGCGCCCUCCACCGCCCCGACGACGCCGUCGACCAUACGAUGAAGCCGGCCCCUGCCGACCGCGCCCGCCUGGCCGCGCUGGUGUCGCGGCUCGCCGACGCGAAGAACAAGAGACCGUCGCGAGUGGCCCUCGCUGCGCUCCGCGAGCUUAGGGACGUCGUGGCGGAGGGCGAGUGCGGUAGGGAACUCGUCGCCGCCGUACCCGGCUCUGCGGAUGCCCUGCUCGACGUCUUCGUCUCGUCUGCGACGUCAGCGCCAGAGAACGCCGCCGCGGCACUCGACGUCAUCUCCUCGCUCCGGCUCCCGGAGCGGUGCCUGGCGCGCGCCGUCGACAGGGAUGGCACGGCGCUGGUCGGCGCGCUCGUCUCUACCCUGCAGGGACACUCCGGCUCCGACGCCGACGCGGCGUCCCGGGCACGCGCGGCCGUGCUCCUGGCGGACGUGACGGCGUGCAUGGCGCCCAGCAGAGCGGCGUCGCUCCCGGAGAAGGUGUUCGUCGAGACUGCGCGGCUGCUCCGCGGCGACGACGGCAUGGGCGCCUCGACCUCGAUGGCGACCAAGGCAGCGCUGCGGGUGCUUGCAGGCGCGACCGCCCACGGGCGGAACCGAGUGAAGGCCGCGGAGGCCGGCGCGGUGGCUGUGCUCGUGGACAUGCUGCUGCUCGUGAACGGCGAGAGGCGGCGAGCGUGGUGCGAGCUGGCGCUGUGCGCGCUGAACCGGCUGUGCGGGUGCGCGGAGGGCCGCGCAGCGCUGGUGGCGCACGGAGCCGGCGUGGCAGCCGUGGGGGCGUGGGUGGCCGGGGCGUCGAUGGCGGCUAGCGCGAAGGCGGUGCGAGUGCUCCGAUCAAUCGCCCGGCACACGGCGACGGUGGCGGUGGUGCAGGAGAUGGCGGCGACGGGCGCGGUGGGGAAGCUGUGCCUGGUGGCGGCGUCGGCGCCGGAGGAGGAGCGGCAGUGGUGCGACGAGAGGACGAGGGAGCGGGCACGGCAGACGCUCCGGCUGCACGCCAGGGCGUGGCGGAGCUCGCCGUGCUUGCAUCCUACCCUCCAGGCCCUCUACCCUUUCUAA